This 348-nucleotide unclassified non-coding RNA is filed under the name soil metagenome. Its description in RNAcentral is "partial contains 5.8S ribosomal RNA, internal transcribed spacer 2, and large subunit ribosomal RNA". The stretch from base 1 to 120 matches the Rfam family "5.8S ribosomal RNA", at positions 35 to 154 of the family's 154-position model. The record is from RNAcentral.
GAUGAAGAACGUAGCGAAAUGCGAUAAGUAAUGUGAAUUGCAGAAUUCAGUGAAUCAUCGAAUCUUUGAACGCACAUUGCGCCCGCCAGUAUUCUGGCGGGCAUGCCUGUUCGAGCGUCAUUUCAACCCUCAUGCCCCUAGGGCGUGGUGUUGGGGAUCGGCCAAAGCCCGCGAGGGACGGCCGGCCCCUAAAUCUAGUGGCGGACCCGUCGUGGCCUCCUCUGCGAAGUAGUGAUAUUCCGCAUCGGAGAGCGAUGAGCCCCUGCCGUUAAACCCCCAACUUUCCAAGGUUGACCCCAGAUCAGGUAGGAAUACCCGCUGAACUUAAGCAUAUCAAUAAGCGGAGGA